UGAGGUGUAGCUCAGUGGUAGAGCACUUGGCUGGCAUGCACAAGGCCCUGGGUUGAAUUCUCAGCACUACAA
This 72-nucleotide transfer RNA is filed under the name Heterocephalus glaber (naked mole-rat). It matches the Rfam family "tRNA". Rfam says of the family: Transfer RNA (tRNA) molecules are approximately 80 nucleotides in length. Their secondary structure includes four short double-helical elements and three loops (D, anti-codon, and T loops). Further hydrogen bonds mediate the characteristic L-shaped molecular structure. tRNAs have two regions of fundamental functional importance: the anti-codon, which is responsible for specific mRNA codon recognition, and the 3' end, to which the tRNAs corresponding amino acid is attached (by aminoacyl-tRNA synthetases). tRNAs cope with the degeneracy of the genetic code in two manners: having more than one tRNA (with a specific anti-codon) for a particular amino acid; and 'wobble' base-pairing, i.e. permitting non-standard base-pairing at the 3rd anti-codon position. Lineage: Eukaryota; Metazoa; Chordata; Mammalia; Rodentia; Bathyergidae. The record is from Rfam by way of RNAcentral.